RNAcentral lists this transfer RNA (74 nucleotides) under Oxyeleotris marmorata (marble goby). Its description in RNAcentral is "tRNA-Trp". The record is from RNAcentral. Lineage: Eukaryota; Metazoa; Chordata; Actinopteri; Gobiiformes; Eleotridae.
AGAGGCUUAGGAUAAUACACAGACCAAGGGCCUUCAAAAGCCCCCAAGUGGGAGUGAAAAUCUCCCAGCCCCUG